UGACCAAUCACGCCUGGCGUGGUCUUGGGGUUCGCGUCCAGCGGCCCUUAAAAUCAGUGGCGGCGUCCGUUGGGCUCUAAGCGUAGUAAUUUCUCCUCGCUUUUGGGCUCUGCGGGUGCUUGCCAUAACCCCAACUUUCUUA
Molecule: unclassified non-coding RNA, 142 nt
Filed under: uncultured Leotiomycetes
Lineage: Eukaryota; Fungi; Ascomycota; Leotiomycetes
Also listed under: 1 other name
Description: sequence contains ITS2
Source: RNAcentral